AUGCAACUUGAUUCCACUCAAUGUGUAUUAUGUGAUGCUGAAGAUAUUGAAGACAGAAUGCCUCUACUAUUUUCGUGUCCUUUCAGCCAGGGAUUUUGGUGGAACAUUGGUCUUGAAUGGAACAUAGAUCUGAAUAUUCAUGAUAUGAUUAUUGAAGCUCAACACAGAUAUCGCCAUCAUCACUUCAUGGAAAUUAUGACAGUAGGAUGCUGGAGUAUAUGGAAUCAAAGAAAUGGACUGAUAUUUGAAGGAAUCCCGUGCUCUAUCAAUGAAUGCAGAUAUGAAUUUAUCAAUACCUUCAAAUUAACAAUGCUAAGAGCCAAACCCAGUCUAAAGGAGGGCAUGUCAUCUUGGAUUGAUAACAUAUAA
This 369-nucleotide ribosomal RNA is filed under the name Triticum aestivum (bread wheat). RNAcentral's name for it is "partial small subunit ribosomal RNA". Lineage: Eukaryota; Viridiplantae; Streptophyta; Magnoliopsida; Poales; Poaceae. The record is from RNAcentral.